RNAcentral lists this small RNA (28 nucleotides) under Bombyx mori (domestic silkworm). RNAcentral's name for it is "ovarian small RNA-35344". The record is from RNAcentral. Lineage: Eukaryota; Metazoa; Arthropoda; Insecta; Lepidoptera; Bombycidae.
UGUAAUAAAAUGUAACAGCGAAUGAUGA